RNAcentral lists this ribosomal RNA (490 nucleotides) under uncultured bacterium. RNAcentral describes it as "partial 16S ribosomal RNA". It matches the Rfam family "Bacterial small subunit ribosomal RNA", at positions 30 to 507 of the family's 1533-position model. The record is from RNAcentral.
AUUGAACGCUGGCGGCAGGCCUAACACAUGCAAGUCGAACGGUAACAGGAAGCAGCUUGCUGCUUCGCUGACGAGUGGCGGACGGGUGAGUCAUGUCUGGGAAACUGCCUGAUGGAGGGGGAUAACUACUGGAAACGGUAGCUAAUACCGCAUAACGUCGCAAGACCAAAGAGGGGGACCUUAGGGCCUCUUGCCAUCGGAUGUGCCCAGAUGGGAUUAGCUAGUAGGUGGGGUAACGGCUCACCUAGGCGACGAUCCCUAGAUGGUCUGAGAGGAUGACCAGCCACACUGGAACUGAGACACGGUCCAGACUCCUACGGGAGGCAGCAGUGGGGAAUAUUGCACAAUGGGCGCAAGCCUGAUGCAGCCAUGCGGCGUGUAUGAAGAAGGCCUUCGUGUUGUAAAGUACUUUCAGCGGGGAGGAAGGGCGUAAAGUUAAUACCUUUGCUCAUUGACGUUACCCGCAGAAGAAGCACCGGCUAACUCCGUG